Molecule: ribosomal RNA, 380 nt
Filed under: uncultured eukaryote
Lineage: Eukaryota
Description: partial 18S ribosomal RNA
Rfam family: Eukaryotic small subunit ribosomal RNA
Source: RNAcentral
CAAUAGCGUAUAUUAAAGUUGUUGCGGUUAAAAAGCUCGUAGUUGGAUUUGUGGCUGUCACGGGCGGCCUAUCACUUAGUGUUAGUGCUUGCCUGUGUCGCCAUCCUUGGGUGGAGCCCGUGUGGCAUUAGGUUGUCGUGCGGGGGAUGCCCAUCGUUUACUGUGAGAAAAUUAGAGUGUUCAAAGCAGGCUUAUGCCGUUGAAUAUGUUAGCAUGGAAUAAUAAGAUAGGACCUCGGUACUAUUUUGUUGGUUUGCGCACCGAGGUAAUGAUUAAUAGGGACAGUUGGGGGUAUUCGUAUUUCAUUGUCAGAGGUGAAAUUCUUGGAUUUCUGAAAGACGAACUACUGCGAAAGCAUUUACCAAGGAUGUUUUCAUUAA